GAUGAAGAACGUAGCGAAAUGCGAUAAGUAAUGCGAAUUGCAGAAUUUCUAGUGAGUCAUCGAAUCUUUGAACGCACAUUGCGCCCUUUGGUAUUCCGGGGGGCAUGCCUGUUCGAGCGUCAUUUCAACCCUCAAGCUCUGCUUGGUCUUGGGCCGCGCCGGCAACGGCGGGCCUCAAAAACAGUGGCGGCGCCAUCUGGUCCCUCAGCGUAGUAAUUCUUCUCGCUGCUGGGCCCCGGUGGCCGCUUGCCAGCAACCCCAAACUUUCUAUGGUUGACCUCGGAUCAGGUAGGGAUACCCGCUGAACUUAAGCAUAUCAAUAAGCGGAGGA
This 331-nucleotide unclassified non-coding RNA is filed under the name soil metagenome. RNAcentral describes it as "partial contains 5.8S ribosomal RNA, internal transcribed spacer 2, and large subunit ribosomal RNA". The stretch from base 1 to 122 matches the Rfam family "5.8S ribosomal RNA", at positions 35 to 154 of the family's 154-position model. The record is from RNAcentral.